RNAcentral lists this ribosomal RNA (253 nucleotides) under uncultured bacterium. RNAcentral describes it as "partial 16S ribosomal RNA". It matches the Rfam family "Bacterial small subunit ribosomal RNA", at positions 524 to 776 of the family's 1533-position model. The record is from RNAcentral.
UACGUAGGGUGCAAGCGUUAAUCGGAAUUACUGGGCGUAAAGCGUGCGCAGGCGGUGAUGUAAGACAGAUGUGAAAUCCCAGGGCUCAACCUUGGAACUGCAUUUGUGACUGCAUCGCUGGAGUGCGGCAGAGGGGGAUGGAAUUCCGCGUGUAGCAGUGAAAUGCGUAGAUAUGCGGAGGAACACCGAUGGCGAAGGCAAUCCCCUGGGCCUGCACUGACGCUGAGGCGCGAAAGCUCGGGGAGCGAACGGG